RNAcentral lists this ribosomal RNA (253 nucleotides) under uncultured bacterium. RNAcentral describes it as "partial 16S ribosomal RNA". It matches the Rfam family "Bacterial small subunit ribosomal RNA", at positions 524 to 776 of the family's 1533-position model. The record is from RNAcentral.
UACGUAGGUGGCAAGCGUUAUCCGGAUUUAUUGGGCGUAAAGAGAACGCAGGCGGUCUUUUAAGUCUGAUGUGAAAGCCUUCGGCUUAACCGGAGUAGUGCAUUGGAAACUGGGGGACUUGAGUGCAGAAGAGGAGAGUGGAACUCCAUGUGUAGCGGUGAAAUGCGUAGAUAUAUGGAAGAACACCAGUGGCGAAAGCGGCUCUCUGGUCUGUAACUGACGCUGAGGUUCGAAAGCGUGGGUAGCAAACAGG